CCUACGGGGGGCAGCAGUGAGGAAUAUUGGUCAAUGGACGAGAGUCUGAACCAGCCAAGUAGCGUGAAGGAUGACUGCCCUAUGGGUUGUAAACUUCUUUUAUAUGGGAGUAAAAUGUUCCACGUGUGGGAUUUUGUAUGUACCAUAUGAAUAAGGAUCGGCUAACUACGUGCCAGGAGCCGCGGUAAUACGGAGGAUCCGAGCGUUAUCCGGAUUUGUUGGGGUUAAAGGGAGCGUAGGGGGAUUGUUAAGUCAGUUGUGAAAGUUUGCGGCUCAACCGUACAAUGGCAGUUGAAACUGGCAGUCUUGAGUACAGUAGAGGUGGGCGGAAUUCGUGGUGUAGCGGUGAAAUGCUUAGAUAUCACGAAGAACUCCGAUUGCGAAGGCAGUUCACUGGACUGCAACUGACACUGAGGCUCGAAAGUGUGGGUAUCAAACAGGAUUAGAUACCCGAGUAGUC
This 460-nucleotide ribosomal RNA is filed under the name uncultured bacterium. RNAcentral's name for it is "partial 16S ribosomal RNA". It matches the Rfam family "Bacterial small subunit ribosomal RNA", at positions 338 to 795 of the family's 1533-position model. The record is from RNAcentral.